AGAGUUUGAUCCUGGCUCAGAACGAACGUUGGCGGCGUGGAUUAGGCAUGCAAGUCGAACGGGGUUGGGGGCAACUCCAACCUAGUGGCGAACGGGUGAGUAACGCGUGGGAAACCUGCCCUUGUGAUGGGGAUAACACUUCUAACGAGGUGCUAAUACCGAAUAAGACCACGAAGUCGCAUGGCUUCGCGGUCAAAGAUGGCCUCUGCUUGCAAGCUAUCACUUAAGGAUGGUCCCGCGUCCCAUUAGCUAGUUGGCGGGGUAACAGCCCACCAAGGCGACGAUGGGUAGCUGGUCUGAGAGGAUGGUCAGCCACACUGGGACUGAGAUACGGCCCAGACUCCUACGGGAGGCAGCAGUCGAGAGGCUUCGGCAAUGGGGGCAACCCUGACCGAGCGACGCCGCGUGAGGGAUGAAGCUCUUCGGGGUGUAAACCUCUUUUCUGGGGGAAGAAACCUAUGGGGUCGAAUAGGCCUCAUGGCUGACGGUACCCCAGGAAUAAGCUCCGGCUAACUCCGUGCCAGCAGCCGCGGUAAUACGGGGGGAGCAAACGUUGUUCGGAAUCACUGGGCGUAAAGGGCGCGUAGGCGGCCCGGUAAGUGGUGUGUGAAAUGCCCUGGCUCAACCAGGGAACUGCGCUCCAAACUGCCGGGCUUGAGGUCAGUAGAGGAAGCUGGAAUUCCAGGUGUAGCGGUGAAAUGCGUAGAUAUCUGGAGGAACACCGUUGGCGAAGGCGAGCUUCUGGGCUGUACCUGACGCUGAGGCGCGAAAGCUGGGGGAGCAAACAGGAUUAGAUACCCUGGUAGUCC
This 809-nucleotide ribosomal RNA is filed under the name uncultured bacterium. RNAcentral's name for it is "bacterial SSU rRNA". It matches the Rfam family "Bacterial small subunit ribosomal RNA", at positions 8 to 796 of the family's 1533-position model. The record is from RNAcentral.